GGCAAUUACUAGGAUAGGCACCAAAAUCUGGAAAUUCCCACACUAGCAGGUUCCCUGCACCCUGCUCCCUCCUUGGAUGGAAGGAAUCUGUUUGCGGCGAUUGUAGACUACAGCGAGGCUUCCUCAGAACUUGCAAACCAGGGUUCAUUACCCUCCUUGUAGAGAGGGCCACUAUUUCAAGGAUUAACCUUGAGGCAGCUAGUUGGCAAGACCGGAAAUAAUUUGGUACUAGCAUCCCUACCCCACAGAGUAUGAGAGAUUUGGAGGACUCCUAAACCUGCCCUUGACCAGGGCAGGGCCAAGCUUGACCAAUGGAGCCUCCCAUCUCAGGAGCUCAAAGGCAAACAAGUUUGGAGAGAAUAUAAUGCUUGGAGCAAGACAUCAUUUGAUGGAACGGAGUCAGGGGGAGCUCAGGAACACGCAGGUCAGACAGCAGCGAGGAUAGGAAGAUUUCAUCUCCUGCGCUAUCAUCACCAUGGAUUGUUUUACUUGCUACCUGUGGCAACAGGCUCCUUGGACAAACAGCAAUCCCCCUAAAGCGGCGUGAUUCAGAGAGAACGUGGAACUUAGAGACAGACAACCCCUUCCAGCCCAAGGUCUGCUGCCUAUUACUGAUAUCAUCUGGGCAAGUAACCUAACCUUUCUGCUUCGGUUUACUCCUCUGUAAAAUGGGGUGAUAGUACCAGCACUAUCCUUGCCUAGAUCAAAUAGAAUAGAUGCUACAUAUCAUCAACCUCAUCCCCACCCACACCCCAUACACACACACCAACAUACACACACCCUGAUGCCCAGGCUCAAGGAGGGAGAAAGAUUGGAAAUUAUUUACUCGUCCAUCUGGAGUGAGCUCACCUGGGCCAGCUGCCAGCUGUAGCCUCCUGUGCUUUUGCUUCCUUCCCUGCCUGAUCUGGAAAUGCUGAAGGCUCCAGACUGGGCCCUCGGGUCUCUGUUCUUCUUUAGCUACAUUUCAUCCCUGGAUGACUUCAUCCAGUCUCCACUUCAAUUGCCAUGAGUACUCUGAC
RNAcentral lists this long non-coding RNA (1019 nucleotides) under Vulpes vulpes (red fox). RNAcentral describes it as "lncRNA (ENSVVUG00000012379.1)". The record is from RNAcentral. Lineage: Eukaryota; Metazoa; Chordata; Mammalia; Carnivora; Canidae.